Molecule: ribosomal RNA, 462 nt
Filed under: uncultured bacterium
Lineage: Bacteria
Description: bacterial SSU rRNA
Rfam family: Bacterial small subunit ribosomal RNA
Source: RNAcentral
GACGAACGCUGGCGGCGUGCCUAAUACAUGCAAGUAGAACGCUGAAGGAGGAGCUUGCUUCUCUGGAUGAGUUGCGAACGGGUGAGUAACGCGUAGGUAACCUGCCUGGUAGCGGGGGAUAACUAUUGGAAACGAUAGCUAAUACCGCAUAAUAGUAGAUGUUGCAUGACAUUUGCUUAAAAGGUGCAAUUGCAUCACUACCAGAUGGACCUGCGUUGUAUUAGCUAGUUGGUGAGGUAACGGCUCACCAAGGCAACGAUACAUAGCCGACCUGAGAGGGUGAUCGGCCACACUGGGACUGAGACACGGCCCAGACUCCUACGGGAGGCAGCAGUAGGGAAUCUUCGGCAAUGGACGGAAGUCUGACCGAGCAACGCCGCGUGAGUGAAGAAGGUUUUCGGAUCGUAAAGCUCUGUUGUAAGAGAAGAACGAGUGUGAGAGGGAAAGUCACACCGUGACGGU